CAUAAAGGGUUAACUUCUAAAAGCCAGCUGGCCAAUGAGAGCGCGACCCCUGCGUCUCCACAGCAACCACAGAAAAACUUUUGAAUGAAAUCAAACGAAAGACACGAACCAACGAGAAUAAUCUAUCAAUAAGAACUCAAUAAGAAGAGAAAAGAAACCUGAACGAGAACAUAAACCUGACCGGAGGGAAAACGAUUGACAGGACUAACGUUAAAUCGAAUGGAUUGAAGACAUCCAGAAGACAAAACUUCAAACAGAACUGCAACUUUCUGAACUGCCUGUACUGCAUCUAAUGCUGGCUUCGGUCAGGUUUUUAUAGUGGAUAAAAGAUCUGAAUUGAUGGCGAGCCUCCCAGAAUCCCGAAUCUGAACUUGCCUUCACCUUUCAUUUCCCUUCACACCACUGUGGUAGGACUGUAAGACUGACCCAGACUGACCUUUUGACUAUUCCCUGACUUAACCUCCUGAUAACUUCUGAAUGAACUGAAUUAAUUGAUUGUGACACAUUGAUCGUUGAUAUUGAUAAUACAUUUUGUUGAAUUGAUACACAUACAUACUAUAAUACACUGAAUAUUUAUUGUAUAUAUUUUUAUUUUCUUGUACCAUUGAAAGAUCACAUUGAAUAUUUUAGAACUUAGGUAAGAUAAGGGUGCACCCGAAUAUAGAACCGUAUAUAGAACAUCUGAUAUUGUUAUUUACUGCACUGCACUUUGUAUUCUAUUUAUUUCAAUCUAUUCAUUGUACUUAUUGUUAUUUAUACCAUUUUAUUCAUUCACUCCUUUUACUUAUUAAAUGUCAUCAUUAUUCUAA
This is a long non-coding RNA of Alosa alosa (allis shad), 809 nucleotides long. RefSeq lists it as uncharacterized. The record is from RefSeq and is a predicted model, not a curated record. NCBI's taxonomy places the organism in Eukaryota, Metazoa, Chordata, Actinopteri, Clupeiformes, Clupeidae. The transcript is spliced from 3 exons.